Molecule: long non-coding RNA, 9185 nt
Filed under: Medicago truncatula (barrel medic)
Lineage: Eukaryota; Viridiplantae; Streptophyta; Magnoliopsida; Fabales; Fabaceae
Description: long non-coding RNA (MTRU_LNC004661)
Source: RNAcentral
UGCAGGAUGAUUAUCCAAAUGGGUCAACCAAAUAAGCUCACCAGUUCUCCUUUCAAGACCAAUAACAACAGCAGGUCCAUAAAUUCCAACAAUCAAUAAAUCUUCAGCCACAGUUGGAGUUGCUCUAGCCACUGACCAAUUUACAGCUUUGAUAAUUCCAGUUGCAUUUAAACCUGUCAAUUCCUCCAAAUUUUGCUUCCAAACAAGUGAUCCAUCAAUUUGUUUAAUUGCAUAUAUGUUACCAUUCCAGCAUGGAAAAUAAAUUGUACCAUUGUAUAUUGUUGGUGUUGCUGUAAUAUCUUUGCCUGCAUUGAAUUUCCACUUCAAACUUAGGUUAGAAACCGUUUCUGGAUUGAUCUUGUGUUCAUUGUAUGCAUACCUUCUAUUGAAUAAAUCUCCACCAUGGUUUAUCCACUAAUUAACAAGCAAUUAAUCAGUAGCAAACUUAUUGGAUUAUUACAAAAUCUAGAGUUACUUAACUUAAAAAAAAUAAAAAAUAACUCAAGGAAUAUUAAAUUUUGGGAAGUAACUAUAUCUUACAUCUGAUUGUAAGCUUGAAGCAAAAACUAGUACCACAUGAACACAAAACAAAAGCAAACAAAGGAUAGUAUUUAUCAUCCUGAAUUUUUGCGGUAACUUGGAAUUUAGCUUAAAGAUGGUGUGACAAUUAGCAAGAUGUUUGCUUCGGAAAUUGAUUACAAAUAAUGACUAUAUAUUUAUAUACACACAAAUUUUUUCCGGUGACAAAUAACUCAUAUAAAUAGAGAAAUAAUAUUUUGUGACAAUUUGAAAACAAUUAUCUCAUGCUCUUAUUAUGUUUUUACUCAAUCUCUAUUGCUUUAAUUUUCGUAACAAUACCUACAUUUCUUUGUAUAUAUUUGAUUAUCAUAUAAGUUGUUCAAAAAAUGAUUAUUCAAAUAACAUACAUCUAUAAAUAAGGGCAAUCAGAUAUGGAUAUUUGACUUCAAAUUCACAUUUCUAAUAUUAUAAAAUACUGACGUAACAUUAUCUUUGCAUUUUUAUCUUGAUAUAAAUAUCGUUUUUUACCAAACAUAAAUAUAAUUUGUAUUUAUAUUUUUUUGUUGAAAAUUCAGUAUUCGUAUUAAUUUACUAUCAUUAAGGCUGACAUUAACAUUUUGUCAACACAAAUAGGCAGACAUUAACGUGUUCGUUUCUCUGCUGUUCUAUUGAGUUUGUUAGUAUGCUUAUUUUAUUGUGUUUGGUUAUAGAUUUUUUGGAAUAUACCACAAUUAAAUAGGUAUUUGAAUUAUAUUGUUUUUGUUAUAGUAAAAUUGUUCAUAUUAUAAAGAUUUAAGAGAUUUUUAAUUAGAGAUUUAAAUUUUAUCAUACAAAAGAUAAUAUUGAAAUUAAAAUAAUUUUAAUGAAGAAUAUAAUUGAAAGAUAAAAUAGCAACAUCAAAUCAAGUAUUUCAUUUCUAGAUAGGUAUAUAUAAAAAUGAAUAAGUCAAUUGUUAGCUAUCAUUUUUUCUUUUUCAUAUAUUAAUCAUAGUAAAGUUCAGCCGAAAAUUGUGUCCAUGAAAAAUCGGAAAAUUGUUUCCAUGAAAAAUCGAAUCCAGAUUCUCUUGAACAAUUCAUCUUAAGAUAAAUUCAUUAACCACUUAAGUUCAAUCAUUAGUUCAAUUGUUAACUAAUAACUAUCCUAUCCAAACAACUUUUGUUGAACAAUGUAUCAUAUUUUUAUUAUAAUGUUUUAUGGUGAUGUAUGACAUCGGAAUUUGAAUUUCUCUAAUGUUAUGUAUCUUGCGUAUUAGAAAAACUGUUAUGGACUGAAUAAUUACACGUAGUGAUGAAUAAAUAUAGUGUUAGAUUGGUCUAUAUGUAGAUAGAAUAAAGGUUGUGACUAUUAGUAACUAGCAUAACUAACCUAACGGUCACUAGCAUAGAAAUAAGAAAUUGUAUAAUUGAUUUAUAACUAACUUAUACUUUUUCAUCAAAAAAAUUAAAAAAAUCUAACUUAGACUUUUUGUUUUUAUUUGACAAAUUUUAUUAAUUAGUUUGUUAGAACUUAGAUGAAUAUUUUACCCAUUUGUUUCGGUUUAACAAUCUCCAAUAUCCCUUUUUGAGCAUGCAGUCAAUCUCCUUUAUGUGGCUAUUUUAUAAGAUUACUUAACCUUUCUGUAUUGAAUUUUAAACGGGCAAGAACAAGGUUGAACCAAGAAAAAACUACCAAAUGUGCUCCGGUGGUUAUGUGUGAAAGAACUAGAGCAUAUAAAGAUUUGGGUCAAUCUCUUGAAUUUCGACGGUGCAAACAUGGCUCCAAAAUGUUUCUAUUUUUUCCAUCAUCAUAUGUGAACAGAUGGGUCUUGUUGUAAGGAAACGUCCAACAAGACAAAAGUUUGGGUCAGCUGUUUGUGCAGGGAUAACGUCAAGUUGCAAUUCUGGAGUGCCUAAACCUAUUCACGCACCAAACCCAAAGAGUGUUGGGCGUUAGGGGGGUGUAUUGGAAAAAACCUCAAGUCCUGCAUCGGAUAGAUAAAACUCUUGAUAAGAGUUUAUAUAGAGGAGGCAAUCCUCACCUCACAAGCCGAUUUUGUAAGGUUGAGUUAUACCCUAAAUUUCAACAAGUUAGCAUGACCCUUCUAGUUUUGAGUUUUUUAAUUUUACGUGUGAUCUCAAAGCCAAAAGUUGCCUUAACUGGUUUUCAUUUUUCAUUUUUCAGGCUUCAUUUGAUAUUUUUCCUUCUUAUUAUCGUUUAGUUAGACAAUUAUUUUAUAAGGAAUGCUAAGGACACUCUUUCUCACAUUCUCUUUCAAACACUUCCUCAAUUAUUGGUCCACAUCAUCAAUUUUUUAAACCCAAUUACUUGGUAACCGGUUAUGCUGGUUUCUAUUCAAUUUCACGCACCAUUUUUUUUUUCAAAUUAAAAAGAAAAGAAAAUACAUCUAGCAUGCAUGAAUAAUGUUCUUCUUUCUUUUUGCCCAGAUCUGAUUUAUGAGAACAGCCAAAAUCAACUCUCCUGUGCCAAACACAACUACACAUCUCAACAAUCCAAACACAUACAACAUCCUUACAAAUUAAAAAUAUGGGCUCUUUUUGUCUAUUAAAAAAUUCAGGUUCUUUGAUUUUCUGAAAAUGAUUACUUGUCUCUUUAUGUUUAUAUCACCUGCAAAAUAUCCAACAUCCAUCCAGAAGAAAUUUGCUUAAAUUUGACACAGACAUUAUACCAAUUUUUUGAAGAUUCAUGUCCCUUCAUCGCAUCUACAGUGUAGAGGAUUGAAUCACUUGUUUAUUGCUUGCCACCAUUUUUAUGAGUUUGACGAAGAAGGUUGUCUUGCCACUAAUCUUGUAAUUGACGAUAACAAAUUGGGACUUUGGAAAAACAUGAAAUGUGGUAAUGAAAAGUCAAGAAAAUAGCCUUUUUUGUUUUUAUUGUUUGUUUUAAAAUUAAAAUAAAUGAAACCAACCCAGUCGGUUGCCUGUUGCGAAGCAUUUUAAUAUAUAACAAUGACUUGGGCCAAUAGUGGAGCGAGUAUCUAAGGGCGUCUGUUUGAGCGACUGCGCCUAGCAGUCCUCUUAUUUUAUUUAUACACAUGAUGAACAUGAUCAAAACGUGGGAAGGUGGCUUUUAAACUUUUAAUGGAACUCUGUCUUUCUUUCGGUUUCUUUUGCCCAUUUUUUUACAUACAAAAGAUUUGUUAAUUAUAGUACAAGAGGUACUCAAAACUCAUUACAUCAAAUCAAAUUCAUUGACUAAAACAUAUGAGAUUUAGGUAAAUGCUAGCAUUUUAAAUAUUUUACAAAAUCUGGAAGUUACAUUCUUUUCUUGAAUUAGUAACAUUUGAAUAAGUGUUAGGUAUAUGCCAUGUUACUAAAUGGUUUUAGUAUCACUGUUGAAUAAGAUUUAAAAAGUGUUAAGUAUAUAUAAGCUAAUUCGUAGCCAAUUACUAGCAAAGGUUCAUAGUUGGCCACAAAAUUUUCGUAGCCACUCUCUAGCUUAUUCAUAGCAAAAAGUUGUUAAAAAUAUGUUCCCGCAGCUACAUAGCAAUAGUACGUCAUAGAAAUAGAUUUGAGAUCAAUUUCUUUAUACUAUAUAAUUACAACCAUUUCUAUAAGACUAACAAAAAAAAAAAUUUCUAUAACCAGCAACAAAUAAAACUUGUCAGAAAACAAACAACAAAUAAAACUUAUAAAUAAUCAAGUUGGUAAUCUUUCUUGGAGUAAACUCCAACCGAACAUAGCUAUUCUUUAUGGCUGAAGUUUUCCACAAAUUUGCAUGUUUACGAACUACUGAUAGCAUCCUUUGACAGUAAAAUUUAUGCCGUCAUGCUGGCUCCAUUCAAAUGUAUCCGGUACGUCUAAUGUUGGAACCCUAGUGUAUAUUGGAAAAAACUUGGAGUAUACUAGUUGGUUUGUGGAGCCUUUGGAAUGUAAACACAAGGAUGAAGAAACUAGUGUAAAGUGUGAAUUGAAAAUUUUAUGUCCCACAUUGGGUAGAUCACACACUCUAGUAGUGUUUAUAUAUAUGGGAUAUCACUUCCAAGGGUGUUCCCUUGGGGUACACACUUUUGUGAACGGAGUGAGCGCUUGCCAAAAAUUAUAUAUAAGACACAUGCGCGGCGACGCCGUCGUCCGACCGGGCUUGGGCUAUAAAGAAAUAUAUUUUGGUGCUCAGAAAAAUGAAAAAUUAUUUUUUAUUUUUUUGCUCCGAGAUUCCCGCACGCAGAGACCACGUUUCCACGUCGUGGGUCGCGAACCGGGUCGGCGGAGAAAACGAGAAACGAGGUCAAAUCCCCUCUAUAAAUAGAGAGCUCGGGAUUAGUAUUCUUCACUCCAAAACCGAGAAUCGAAUCCUCUUCUCUGGUUUUCUCCCCUUCUCAUCUCCCUCGGUUUGUGUUGACGAACCGUUCUUUUCUUCCUCCUUCUUUGGUUUCUCGAGUGGUCUGCGUACCAUAUUAGAGUGGUUUUUCGAAACCAUAUUGAGGUGUUAUUCUCGAGCGAUUUCUGGCAGUGCAGCCUUUAAUCGUACAGAAAGAAUCUGGGCUGUUUUAUCCUGGAGACGGCGCGGUUGCUAGUCUACCUUGCACAAUUUAGGUAGUGCCGCGAAACGUCUUAAAGAAAGCAACCUGGUCGUGACUCACCCCGGUAAUAGUUUCAAAGCUCUGUCGUAAUUUUAAAAUCCAAAACAACAUCUAACCGAGGCUGCACUUCAAAGAGUUUUAGUACCAAUUCGUCUCCUUUAAUUCUCCCUUUACGGUCUAAAACUCUCAACCAAUUCCAGCUCCACUCACACACACACACACACACCUCAUUCUACCACAAAUCUUCCCAAUAUAAGAUACUUUCUCCAUCUACUAAUUUUCUUCUUACAAGAUUUGCUAACCAAUUUGGUUGAUCUUCAUUAUCCCUUCUAAUAUUAAUUCUUCUAUAGUCUUCCUAGAUGCCAUCUAGAAUGAAACAUAAUAUAGUGGAUUAUUACUCAAGCGUCAAGCCGAAUUUAAUAAAACCAAUCUAUCUCCAGUUGAUAAAUGGCGACUGUUCCAACAUGAAAGUCUCUUCUUCAUUCUCAAUUACCGGGCACCAUAUUGAACAUAUUCUUGUAUUAGUGCCUAGGGUUACACCAAGAAACAUGAAAUGUACACUAUCGAUAUUGCACGCAAGAAAACUUGCCACGUCUUAAAAAAAAUAAUCCUCCAAAUUCAAGCUAUAUAAUUUACUUUUGAAGAAUGGCAAUUGGAUUUUCUUAUAGGCUUUUGGGGGAUCAUUUGCUCAAUCCUACUUAACCGUUCCUGGCGACAUACUUAUUUUAAGUUCUUGAACAAUUUAACAGACAAUAUUUAUGUCAUGAUAGUUGUGAAAUACAAGAGGUGGCUCAAAGACUAACAGGUAACAAUAAUACCUUAUCUAUACACCCUCAGAAUGGAUAUAAAACCUGCAUAAACUUGGUCUGUGGUGUAUUGGACUUGAUAUAUUUAUGUAGAAUUUAUGUUGAUGCAUUUACUGGACCUUAUUUUAUAAUAAGCAGCUUUUUUACUUUCAUCUCACAAGCAUGUCCAUUCAUUUUCUUGGCAACAUAAUGUCAUAGCAAGUAUCAAGCAUGCACUAAUGUCUCAUUUCGAAAGGAAGAUACUUUCUAAUUAUCUAUAAUAACUAGAUAAGUAAAGAAAAUGAUUAGGUAGUUGAAUUAUUGUCACUAUUAUUUUCUAUAGAGGUAGUUAAUUAAAAUAAUUCAUACUUCAAUCACAACAAUGACAGAGAAAAGCAAAGAUUAAAAGAAUAGCAAAUUGGCCCAAUGCAGUUACAGAUAGAAAAGGAGAGAAGAUGUCUAUAUCAUAAAUGUAGAAAAGGAGAGAAAAUAUAACUAUUACACACCUCAAAUAAAAUCAUUGCCAUACAUCUUUUACAUCUAGACCAAACCCCACUCACAUCAAUUUUAUUUAUAUACAUUCAUAUAGUCACCUCAUAAAAUCUUUAGACACAAAAGGCAAAGAGUGAGGUUCCACCAGUAUAGUUAGAAUAGAAUCCUAAAGAGACAUUAUAUCCAUGACCUACAUAAACACAUCCAUUACUAAUUGACAUACCCCCAUAAACACUAGCUCCAGUUUCAUAGAACCAUAAUAUAUGUCCAUUUCUUCCAUUAAUUGCAUAAAUGUGUCCCAAUCUAUCUGUAGAUCCAACAAAAACAACUUCAUUUGCCACACUAACAGGGCCACUAGCAGUACUAUUAAUGCUAGGGUUAGCUGUAGACCAUAGAAUUGUUCCAUUGCUAGCAUCCAUUGCCACCCAUCCUCCUGAUGUUGUAUUCAUAUUUGAUGGUAAAAGUUUGAAAAUUUUGGCAUCUGAAUUUGCAAUAUUGGUAUAUAUUCGUUUUUCAUCAGUUGCUGCACCAAAUGUUCCACCUCCGGCUAGUCCACCAGGCCCUGCUUCCUGUAAUAUUUUGAGCUUAUAAUUAAAUUAGUUAUUGCAGAAGUUCGAUCUCUAAAAACUUCGUACUACACUAGCAUUUGUAGCGGCUGAAGUUCGAACUAGAAAACGUCACAACUUCAAACUAAACAAAAAAUGUUAUUGGGUCAACGCUAAUUGUAGUUGAGACCCCAACGACAAGGUGUGGCAUAAAUUGAAAUGAUAAUUGAUCAACACUAACCACAACUGAAAUCCAAACAAAAACUAAAACAUAAGGUGGUGUUGGUGGUGUCAUGAAUAUAUCAAAAUCAUAGUUAAUAUUGUAUUGAACAUUUAAAAACGAUAAAUAAAUAUAAACAAUUUUAAAAAAAAAAAUGUUAGGAGUUAAUUCAAAACUAGUCAACUAAUAAGUUUGCUUGUUGUGCAAGCAACAACUGUUGUAGGAUUUUCUCUGUUAUGGUAGUUAGAGUUAUGAUUACAAGUGAAUAAACAAAGAAGUGAAGUGUACCCCUAAAAAAAAAGUAGUGAAGUGUAUGAUUUCCAUUCAUAAACUCUCUCUCUCUCUCUCUCUCCCAUAAUCUUUUUCUACUUAAGUGAAAUUAUGUUUCAUCUUGUUCUACAAAAACAUCAUUUAAAAAGGAACGAAUAGAGUGUAUAUUACCGUAAACCAUAGAAGGGUUCCAUUGUCGCGAUCCAAUGCCCAAGCAAAUCCACUUUUCUGAACAGCAACAACAAUAUCUUUCUUUGUUCCAUUUACAUGUGUAGUUAACAUCAUUGGUGCCUCUCCAAAAUCUGCAUCUGGUAUAGAACCUUGAGGUGGACAAUUAGAAAUUGAAGCAUUGUUACAUGAAACAAACCAUACAUCAUAUCCUCCUAAUUGUUUGUACCAUUUGAUAUUACCACUGUCCAAAUCAAGGGCCAAGAUUGAAUUUGAGUGAUUUUCUGGUUCAACACACUUGUCUUGUUCAAUAGGAGUAGUUUGAUUAUUUUGUCUUUCUUGACAUUCAAGUACGUUUUUUGGGGCAGAGUAGAGAUUUCCGGUGGCAAUAUAGACAUGUUUUCGAUAAACAUCAAUGGAAGGACUACUUCCCCAAAUGGCAGCUCCAGCAUAUGCUCCUAUCUUUCCGUUGUUAUCCGGUAACAUAUAGGUUUUCCAUAAGAUGUCGCCGGUUUGAGCAUCAAGUUUUACAAGACUUCCACGAAAUAUGCAACAAUCUUUAAUGGUUGCACCUUCUUCUAGUGAAGAUGUUCCAACAUAGUAACUCCUAUAUAUUGAAAGUUUAGCAUAAUUAUACUUUGAUAUAAACGGGUCGAAAAGAAAGAAGGAAUGAAUGAUAGCCCCAAACUUGAUAGUCCCCAUACUUGAUUGGUGAGGUUAGAUAAAUCUUUCAAUGUUUUAUGAUACUCCAAAAAAAUAAAUAUUCAUCAUAAUUAUUUUCUUCUUGGUUUCCAAUCUCUAAAAAUAAGGCGAAAUCACAAACAAAUUGCAUUAAUCACGAGCCACUUGAUGGUAGAAAAUCUACAUAAGGACCAAACAAGAUUUGCAGUUUCUCUCGAAGACAAUGAAUGAGACUUCCCUUUAAACACUACAAGAAUUUUGGUUUUUAUUGAGGGAAAUAAACCCUCAGUAACACACAUUAGUGGCAGAUUUGUAUCCCUCAGUAAUACUGGCGUCAGUAAUGUUACUGACGGAAUUUUCCCUCAUUAGUGUAAACAGCAAUGAAGAAACACUAAUGAAGUAGUAGUAUUUUCAAAAUUGUACCGAAGAUCAAAUCAACAAGACCUAGUCGUAGUUUGGUCUGUUCAACCACAAACGCCAUUGACUAGAGGAGAAAAAUAUAAGUUAAUAAGUAACAAAAAUUAAAUAAAAAUAAAAACUAGUUGAACCAACUGUGAUUCAACCAAUUCAAUUGUGGUUCAAUUAGAUUACGAUAUAAUCAAGAACAAACCAACCGACGAACUAGCUGAUUCUUAUUUCAAUCAAUUGAACCAACUGAUAUAAUCUGAUUUUUAAAACAUUGGAAAGAAGAUUAAGAGGCUUGAGCAAGAGAAUGUAAUUUACUAACCCAUUGUAAUAAGUUCCAGACAUGGUAACAACUCCUGCAGGGUGAUUAUCCAAAUGAGUCAACCAAACAAGCUCACCAGUUCUCCUUUCAAGACCAAUAACAACAGCAGGUCCAUAAAUUCCAACAAUCAACAAAUCUUCAGCCACAGUUGGAGUUGCUCUAGCCAAUGUCCAAUUUGCAUUAAUUAUAAAUCCAGUUGUAUUUAAACCUGUCAAUUUCUCCAAGUUUUGCUUCCAAACAAGUGAUCCAUCAACUUGUU